RNAcentral lists this unclassified non-coding RNA (229 nucleotides) under uncultured fungus. Its description in RNAcentral is "sequence contains ITS1, 5.8S rRNA gene". The stretch from base 181 to 229 matches the Rfam family "5.8S ribosomal RNA", at positions 1 to 49 of the family's 154-position model. The record is from RNAcentral. Lineage: Eukaryota; Fungi.
UCUCCGUAGUUGAACAUGCGGAGGGAUCAUUACUGAAUGAGGGGCUCAGGGCCCGACCUCCAACCCUUUUGUGAACCACCUCGUUGCUUCGGGGGCGACCCUGCCGUUCGCGGCGUGGGCCCCCCGGAGCCCAUCAAACCCUGCGUAACUGAGUCGUCGGAGUUUAAACAAAUUAAACAAAACUUUCAACAACGGAUCUCUUGGUUCGGGCAUCGAUGAAGAACGCAGC